This 450-nucleotide ribosomal RNA is filed under the name uncultured bacterium. RNAcentral's name for it is "partial 16S ribosomal RNA". It matches the Rfam family "Bacterial small subunit ribosomal RNA", at positions 338 to 795 of the family's 1533-position model. The record is from RNAcentral.
CCUACGGGCGGCUGCAGUGGGGAAUUUUCCACAAUGGGCGAAAGCCUGAUGGAGCAACGCCGCGUGUGUGAUGAAGGUCUUCGGAUCGUAAAGCACUUUCGACCGGGACGAAAAACCUCUGGCUAACAUCCAGGGGCCUGACGGUACCGGGAGAAGAAGCACCGGCUAACUCUGUGCCAGCAGCCGCGGUAAUACAGAGGGUGAAAGCGUUGUUCGGAAUUAUGUGGCGGCGGGUUCGUGUAGGAGGCGUGAAAGCCCAUGGCUUAACCAUGGAAGUGCGUCUGAAACUGCCGAGCUUGAGUGCCGGAGAGGAUGGCGGAAUUCCGCAAGUAGAGGUGAAAUUCGUAGAUAUGCGGAGGAACACCGGUGGCGAAGGCGGCCAUCUGGACGGUAACUGACGCUGAGACGCGAAAGCGUGGGGAGCAAACAGGAUUAGAUACCCCGGUAGUC